Molecule: non-coding RNA, 108 nt
Organism: Otolemur garnettii (small-eared galago)
Lineage: Eukaryota; Metazoa; Chordata; Mammalia; Primates; Galagidae
Source: Rfam
GUGCUUGCUUUGGCAGCACAUAUACUAAAAUUGGAACGAUACAGAGAAGAUUAGUAUGGCCCCUGUGCAAGGAUGAAAUACACAAUUAUUGUUAACUAUAGUGUUAUU